AUCCCAUGGUGAGGACAAGCAGUGACAUAUUCCUACAAACGCUCCCAGGCUUCAGGUAUGGACUCAUCCUUCUCCUGCUGGAAGCUUGAAAUCCUCUCGCGAAGGGC
Molecule: small nucleolar RNA, 107 nt
Filed under: Leersia perrieri
Lineage: Eukaryota; Viridiplantae; Streptophyta; Magnoliopsida; Poales; Poaceae
Description: snoRNA snoR71
Rfam family: Plant small nucleolar RNA R71
About the family: R71 is a member of the C/D box family of snoRNAs containing the C (UGAUGA) and D (CUGA) box motifs. Multiple nearly identical copies of this snoRNA have been identified in Arabidopsis, and it is thought to function as a 2'-O-ribose methylation guide for 18S ribosomal RNA.
Source: Rfam by way of RNAcentral